Neofelis nebulosa (Clouded leopard) is the source of this 547-nucleotide long non-coding RNA. RefSeq lists it as uncharacterized. The transcript has 5 exons. Lineage: Eukaryota; Metazoa; Chordata; Mammalia; Carnivora; Felidae. The record is from RefSeq and is a predicted model, not a curated record.
GUUUCUCUUUGCUUCCAGAAGUGUUCUAGGAGGGAAACAUUGCAUCUUUGAAGUGUAAAGUCGAUUUUAUUACUCUCAGAUCAGCCCUAUGGAGAGACCCAUGUAGCAGGGGACAAAGCCUCCAUUGAACAGCCAUGAGAGAGAGCCUUCUUGGAAGCGGCUACUCUGGCUUCAGCCAUGCCCACAGUGUCUCAGCAGAUGUCCAAGGUUGAGAGAAGCUCUACUGAAGGACUGUACCCAAGGAGCCUCAUCCAUACCAGAAACUAAUUUAGAUGAUGAGAUUCUGGAGUUUGAGCUGACGCACUAGAUUUUGUGGACCUUAUGAAGAGUGCGUAUAUUUUACAUGUAGGAAGAAUCCAUGGGACUCCGCCGCUGUCAUUGUCUUAUCCCACAUGUGAAAAAGGCAUGGAAAGUGGAAGAACCUUGCUUGACUACAAAGAUGCCUUUGCACACUGGCCCAAAUUUCCACAAACCAGGGCAAGAAUGGCUGCAUAAAUUUUGGACCCUUCUGCAAAAUGAAAAUGCAGAGCUUUUUGUUCAAAAAAAA